This 630-nucleotide ribosomal RNA is filed under the name Streptomyces albidoflavus. RNAcentral's name for it is "partial 23S ribosomal RNA". It matches the Rfam family "Bacterial large subunit ribosomal RNA", at positions 587 to 1215 of the family's 2925-position model. Lineage: Bacteria; Bacillati; Actinomycetota; Actinomycetes; Kitasatosporales; Streptomycetaceae. The record is from RNAcentral.
UGCGUCGUGACUGCGUGCCUUUUGAAGAAUGAGCCUGCGAGUUAGCGGUGUGUAGCGAGGUUAACCCGUGUGGGGAAGCCGUAGCGAAAGCGAGUCCGAAGAGGGCGUUUGAGUUGCACGCUCUAGACCCGAAGCGGAGUGAUCUAGCCAUGGGCAGGUUGAAGCGGCUGUAAGAGGUCGUGGAGGACCGAACCCACCAGGGUUGAAAACCUGGGGGAUGACCUGUGGUUAGGGGUGAAAGGCCAAUCAAACUCCGUGAUAGCUGGUUCUCCCCGAAAUGCAUUUAGGUGCAGCGUCGUGUGUUUCUUGCCGGAGGUAGAGCACUGGAUAGGCGAUGGGCCCUACCGGGUUACUGACCUUAGCCAAACUCCGAAUGCCGGUAAGUGAGAGCGCGGCAGUGAGACUGUGGGGGAUAAGCUCCAUGGUCGAGAGGGAAACAGCCCAGAGCAUCGACUAAGGCCCCUAAGCGUACGCUAAGUGGGAAAGGAUGUGGAGUCGCAGAGACAACCAGGAGGUUGGCUUAGAAGCAGCCACCCUUGAAAGAGUGCGUAAUAGCUCACUGGUCUAGUGAUUCCGCGCCGACAAUGUAGCGGGGCUCAAGCGUACCGCCGAAGUCGUGUCAUUGCAGCA